This 468-nucleotide ribosomal RNA is filed under the name uncultured bacterium. RNAcentral describes it as "partial 16S ribosomal RNA". It matches the Rfam family "Bacterial small subunit ribosomal RNA", at positions 28 to 507 of the family's 1533-position model. The record is from RNAcentral.
GACGAACGCUGGCGGCGUGCUUAACACAUGCAAGUCGAACGGAAAGGCCCUGCUUUUGUUGGUUGCUCGAGUGGCGAACGGGUGAGUAACACGUGAGUAACCUGCCCUUGACUUUGGGAUAACUUCAGGAAACUGGGGCUAAUACCGGAUAGGAGCUCCUGCUGCAUGGUGUGGGUUGGAAAGUUUCGGCGGUUGGGGAUGGACUGGCGGCUUAUCCGCUUGUUGGUGGGGUAGUGGAUGACCAAGGCUUUGACGGGUAGCCGGCCUGGGAGGGUGACCGGGCACAUUGGGACUGAGAUACGGCCCAGACUCCUACGGGAGGCAGCGGGGGGGAAUAUGGCGGAGUGGGCGGGAGCCUGAGGCAGAAACGCCGCGUGCGGGAUGAUGGCCUUCGGGUUGUAAACAGAUGUGGCCUGUGACGAAGAGUGAGUGACGGUAAUGGGUAAAGAAGCACCGGCUAACUACGUG